RNAcentral lists this ribosomal RNA (415 nucleotides) under uncultured bacterium. RNAcentral's name for it is "bacterial SSU rRNA". It matches the Rfam family "Bacterial small subunit ribosomal RNA", at positions 8 to 434 of the family's 1533-position model. The record is from RNAcentral.
AGAGUUUGAUCAUGGCUCAGGAUGAACGCUGGCGGCGUGCCUAACACAUGCAAGUCGAGCGAUCUCUUCGGAGAGAGCGGCGGACGGGUGAGUAACGCGUGGGUAACCUGCCCUGUACACACGGAUAACAUACCGAAAGGUAUACUAAUACGGGAUAACAUACGAAAGUCGCAUGGCUUUUGUAUCAAAGCUCCGGCGGUACAGGAUGGACCCGCGUCUGAUUAGCUAGUUGGUAAGGUAAUGGCUUACCAAGGCAACGAUCAGUAGCCGACCUGAGAGGGUGAUCGGCCACACUGGAACUGAGACACGGUCCAGACUCCUACGGGAGGCAGCAGUGGGGAAUAUUGCACAAUGGGCGAAAGCCUGAUGCAGCAACGCCGCGUGAGCGAUGAAGGCCUUCGGGUCGUAAAGCUCU